This 301-nucleotide ribosomal RNA is filed under the name uncultured bacterium. RNAcentral's name for it is "partial 16S ribosomal RNA". It matches the Rfam family "Bacterial small subunit ribosomal RNA", at positions 509 to 807 of the family's 1533-position model. The record is from RNAcentral.
CAGUCGCCGCGGUAAUACGAAGGGUGCUAGCGUUGUUCGGAAUUACUGGGCGUAAAGCGCACGUAGGCGGCUUGGUAAGUUAGAGGUGAAAGCCUGGAGCUCAACUCCAGAAUUGCCUUUAAGACUGCCGAGCUAGCAGGUGAGAGAGGUAAGUGGAAUUCCGAGUGUAGAGGUGAAAUUCGUAGAUAUUCGGAAGAACACCAGUGGCGAAGGCGGCUUACUGGCUCAUACUGGACGCUGAGGUGCGAAAGCGUGGGGAGCAAACAGGAUUAGAUACCCCCGUAGUCCCUGUCUCUUAUAC